GAACUGAAUAACAUUUCGAGUGUCCCUUUGGGCGUACGGCCCUUAGGGAAGGAUAGGGAAUCGGGUGAAAAGCCCGGACGGAACCGACGCUGUAAGCGCUGAGGCCGUGCUCGUCGACGAAAGUCGGUCACUGGGAAACUGGGAAGGCAGAGCACAGGCCGCAGGUAAGCAAAAGAAUGCUUGCCAUAAGCGCGAGUCAGAAGACCUGCUCAGAAAUUGCUUUGCAA
This 227-nucleotide non-coding RNA is filed under the name Sporobacter termitidis. RNAcentral also lists the same sequence under 1 other name. The record is from RNAcentral. Lineage: Bacteria; Bacillati; Bacillota; Clostridia; Eubacteriales; Oscillospiraceae.